RNAcentral lists this ribosomal RNA (468 nucleotides) under uncultured bacterium. RNAcentral's name for it is "partial 16S ribosomal RNA". It matches the Rfam family "Bacterial small subunit ribosomal RNA", at positions 28 to 507 of the family's 1533-position model. The record is from RNAcentral.
GACGAACGCUGGCGGCGUGCUUAACACAUGCAAGUCGAACGGAAAGGCCCUGCUUUUGUGGGGUGCUCGAGUGGCGAACGGGUGAGUAACACGUGAGUAACCUGCCCUUGACUUUGGGAUAACUUCAGGAAACUGGGGCUAAUACCGGAUAGGAGCUCCUGCUGCAUGGUGGGGGUUGGAAAGUUUCGGCGGUUGGGGAUGGACUCGCGGCUUAUCAGCUUGUUGGUGGGGUAGCGGCUUACCAAGGCUUUGACGGGUGGCCGGCCUGAGAGGGUGACCGGCCACAUUGGGACUGAGAUACGGCCCAGACUCCUACGGGAGGCAGCAGUGGGGAAUAUUGCACAAUGGGCGGAAGCCUGAUGCAGCAACGCCGCGUGCGGGAUGACGGCCUUCGGGGUGUAAACCGCUUUCGCCUGUGACGAAGCGUGAGUGACGGUAAUGGGUAAAGAAGCACCGGCUAACUACGUG